CCGACUUUAGCUCAGUUGGUAGUAGCGCAAGACUGUAAUGGAUACCUGCGAUCUUGAGGUCACCUGUUCGACCCAGGUAAGUCGGA
Molecule: non-coding RNA, 86 nt
Organism: Mycena belliarum
Lineage: Eukaryota; Fungi; Basidiomycota; Agaricomycetes; Agaricales; Mycenaceae
Source: the annotation of a GenBank genome assembly